This 446-nucleotide ribosomal RNA is filed under the name uncultured bacterium. RNAcentral's name for it is "bacterial SSU rRNA". It matches the Rfam family "Bacterial small subunit ribosomal RNA", at positions 28 to 457 of the family's 1533-position model. The record is from RNAcentral.
GACGAACGCUGGCGGCGUGCUUAACACAUGCAAGUCGAACGUGAUUUUUGUGGAAAUUCUUUCGGGAAUGGAAAUGAAAUGAAAGUGGCGAACGGGUGAGUAACACGUGAGCAACCUACCUUACACAGGGGGAUAGCCGUUGGAAACGACGAUUAAUACCGCAUGAGACCACAGAAUCGCAUGAUAUAGGGGUCAAAGAUUUAUCGGUGUAAGAAGGGCUCGCGUCUGAUUAGCUAGUUGGAAGGGUAAAGGCCUACCAAGGCGACGAUCAGUAGCCGGUCUGAGAGGAUGAACGGCCACAUUGGAACUGAGACACGGUCCAAACUCCUACGGGAGGCAGCAGUGGGGAAUAUUGCACAAUGGGGGGAACCCUGAUGCAGCGACGCCGCGUGAGCGAAGAAGGUUUUCGAAUCGUAAAGCUCUGUCCUANGAGAAGAUAANGACGG